UUGGAGGGCAAGUCUGGUGCCAGCAGCCGCGGUAAUUCCAGCUCCAAUAGCGUAUAUUAAAGUUGUUGCAGUUAAAAAGCUCGUAGUUGAAUUUCGGGAUCAGUAUGUCGGUCGUGCUUCGGUACGUACUGUCAUUACUGGUUUCUCCCUUCUGAAGAACCAUGAUGUCAUUAAUUUGGUGUCUUGGGAAAUCAGGACUGUUACUUUAGAAAAAAUUAGAGUGUUUAAAGCAGGCAUACGCUUGAAUACAUUAGCAUGGAAUAAUGAAAUAGGACGUUUGAUUCUAUUUUGUUGGUUUCUAGGAUCGACGUAAUGAAUUAA
RNAcentral lists this ribosomal RNA (321 nucleotides) under Glomus sp. RNAcentral describes it as "SSU rRNA". It matches the Rfam family "Eukaryotic small subunit ribosomal RNA", at positions 548 to 873 of the family's 1831-position model. Lineage: Eukaryota; Fungi; Glomeromycota; Glomeromycetes; Glomerales; Glomeraceae. The record is from RNAcentral.